AUAAGGUUAAGUUAAUAAGGGCGCACGGUGGAUGCCUUGGCACUAGGAGCCGACGAAGGACGUGACAAACGACGAUAUGCCUUGGGUAGCUGUAAGUAAGCGAUGAUCCAGGGAUUUCCGAAUGGGGGAACCCAACAGGUAAUACCUGUUACCCACAUCUGUUAAGGAUGUGAGGAGGAAGACGCAGUGAACUGAAACAUCUAAGUAGCUGCAGGAAGAGAAAGCAAAAGCGAUUGCCUUAGUAGCGGCGAGCGAAACGGCAGAAGGGCAAACCGAAGAGUUUACUCUUCGGGGUU
This 296-nucleotide ribosomal RNA is filed under the name Klebsiella pneumoniae. Its description in RNAcentral is "partial 23S ribosomal RNA". It matches the Rfam family "Bacterial large subunit ribosomal RNA", at positions 1 to 299 of the family's 2925-position model. Lineage: Bacteria; Pseudomonadati; Pseudomonadota; Gammaproteobacteria; Enterobacterales; Enterobacteriaceae. The record is from RNAcentral.